Molecule: long non-coding RNA, 981 nt
Organism: Nomascus leucogenys (northern white-cheeked gibbon)
Lineage: Eukaryota; Metazoa; Chordata; Mammalia; Primates; Hylobatidae
Source: RefSeq, a predicted model, not a curated record
UUACAUAUCUUUAUAGCUACAAAGCCCUGUGAGGUUUUGAAAAACUUCCUUGGUACCCAAAACCAGGUCUGAGGCACAGUCAGUGAAUACCUGUUUAAUGAAUGCAUGCAUAAAUGAAUGAAUGGAUGAUCCAGCUCUUCCUGGAGCAGGCACGACUUCCACAGAAACAAAAAGAGGGCACACGUGAGCCGGAAGCACAAGUGAGUCUUCUUCCUAUGUGAAGGGAUGUGGGGGUGGUACGCCCCUAUCAACUUUAUCUUUACAUAGUCCUUGAGCACCCACCGGGCGCCGGGUUCCCCGGACUAGAGGGAGGGAGAGGGGCGUCAGCUCCACCCUUAACAAGCUUAAUUCUUGAUGAGAUUAACCAUCAAAACCCAUCGGAGAACGUUAUAGCUCCAGCGCUGAAUGAGACAUCUUUGAUUCUGUGGUGAUGGCGGACUUUGUGCCUCUCUGUGAGGAAACACUUUGUUCCGAUGAUGCAGUUUUCCUCACAGUCCGGAAGUCUCCUGCACUGCCAGAAUUGCCCAGCUUCCCGGCACACCUAUCAACCAGUCAUUCCCAACACUGCCCAGUAUGCAGCCUCCCGGCAGAGGGCCUGGAUGUCUUGGCAGGUGUUUCUGAAAAAUCCAAUCCACCCUCCAAGGCGGAAAGUGUGCCAUCUCUGCCCAUAAUCCAAAUGGCAUGCCUGAGGCAUAGAAAGCAGCUUUCAGGGAGGCCCUCCUUCCUCUGAGCAACGGUGACAUCAUCAGAGAAGUGGAGCUCCUCCAAAAGGAUCUGCUGGAAGCAGAGGACGCCCAUGUCUCCUGGUGACUCCCUCUGACCCAACAAGUUGCAGCACCUCUGCUGGGCUUUGCCACUGCCCCAUUUUUGCCAGAGCCUCACCCUGGUGGGGCCCCACCUCUGGGAAGCCCCAGCGCCUGCAAGAUUUUUUCCUCUCGUGACAGGGAGCAGCAUGCGGAGGGCCCUUGCACAACCUGGGUC